CAUAGCCGCGGGAAUACGAAGGGGGCUAGCGUUGUUCGGAUUUACUGGGCGUAAAGGGCGCGUAGGCGGACUGAUAAGUCAGGGGUGAAAUCCCAAGGCUCAACCUUGGAACUGCCUUUGAUACUGUUUGUCUUGAGUUCGAGAGAGGUAAGUGGAACUGCGAGUGUAGAGGUGAAAUUCGUAGAUAUUCGCAAGAACACCAGUGGCGAAGGCGGCUUACUGGCUCGAUACCGACGCUGAGGCGCGAAAGCGUGGGGAGCAAACAGGAUUAGAUACCCGCGUAGUCCCUGUCUCUUAUACA
RNAcentral lists this ribosomal RNA (301 nucleotides) under uncultured bacterium. Its description in RNAcentral is "partial 16S ribosomal RNA". It matches the Rfam family "Bacterial small subunit ribosomal RNA", at positions 512 to 808 of the family's 1533-position model. The record is from RNAcentral.